AACGAACGCUGGCGGCAUGCCUAACACAUGCAAGUCGAACGAGACCUUCGGGUCUAGUGGCGCACGGGUGCGUAACGCGUGGGAACCUGCCCUUAGGUUCGGAAUAACUCCCCGAAAGGGGUGCUAAUACCGGAUAAUGUCUUCGGACCAAAGAUUUAUCGCCUUUGGAUGGGCCCGCGUUGGAUUAGCUAGUUGGUAGGGUAAAAGCCUACCAAGGCGACGAUCCAUAGCUGGUCUGAGAGGAUGAUCAGCCACACUGGGACUGAGACACGGCCCAGACUCCUACGGGAAGCAGCAGUGGGGAAUAUUGGACAAUGGGCGAAAGCCUGAUCCAGCAAUGCCGCGUGAGUGAUGAAGGCCUUAGGGUUGUAAAGCUCUUUUACCCGGGAUGAUAUUGACAGUACCGGGAGAAUAAGCUCCGGCUAACUCCGUG
RNAcentral lists this ribosomal RNA (433 nucleotides) under uncultured bacterium. RNAcentral describes it as "partial 16S ribosomal RNA". It matches the Rfam family "Bacterial small subunit ribosomal RNA", at positions 29 to 507 of the family's 1533-position model. The record is from RNAcentral.